AUUGAACGCUGGCGGCAGGCCUAACACAUGCAAGUCGAGCGGAGCGGCGGACGGGUGCGUAUUGCCUAGGAAUCUGCCUGGUAGUGGGGGAUAACGUCCGGAAACGGGCGCUAAUACCGCAUACUAUCAGAUGAGCCUCGGUGGGAUUAUCUAGUUGGUGGGGUAAAGGCCUACCAAGGCGACGAUCCGUAACUGGUCUGAGAGGAUGAUCAGUCACACUGAAACUGAGACACGGUCCAGACUCCUACGGGAGGCAGGAGUGGGGAAUAUUGGGCAAUGGGCGAGAGCCUGAUCCAGCACUGUCGCGUGUGUGAAGAAGGGUUUCGGAUCGUAUAGCACUUUAAGUUGGGAGGCGGUACUAUCAGAAUAAGCAACGGCUAACUUCGUGCCAGCAGCCGCGGUAAUUC
Molecule: ribosomal RNA, 407 nt
Filed under: uncultured bacterium
Lineage: Bacteria
Description: partial 16S ribosomal RNA
Rfam family: Bacterial small subunit ribosomal RNA
Source: RNAcentral